Molecule: unclassified non-coding RNA, 2357 nt
Filed under: Trichogramma pretiosum
Lineage: Eukaryota; Metazoa; Arthropoda; Insecta; Hymenoptera; Trichogrammatidae
Description: uncharacterized LOC106655444, transcript variant X1
Source: RNAcentral
UCGCUAUUGACAGAGUACACAUCGAAUAAACUAAGACAAUGCUUAUUCAUUUCAAGCCGGAAUUCAUUUCUAUCAUCCUGUCGUCAUGGACCUUUUACAAAAUCCUCUACCCUCUCAUCCUUCCCUAUAUCCCUAUACCUACUACUACCUCCCUUGUCCAGUACAGCUAUCCUGGCCGGAACCUGAUAUUCGACCGGUACUCCUAUCACGAAGACACACGGGUGUUUGUCGUCUGCGACGAGGAGCCAAUCCACCUGCAAGGGAAUGGAUCACAGAAAUUCAUCAAGUGCGAGAUAUACCACGACGAUCAGGGGGGCCGCAAACACGAGUGUCCCAUCACCCUAACGAUGAGUCGUCGAGGCGCCGGUGUCAUCAGGCCCGGUACGAUGCAGGUCCGGCCCUUUGGUGAAGACAAGGCCAUCCUCAGCUGGGUAGAUCCGACCGUGUCGGUGACGUCGCCGAACAAGUGGCGACUUUUCGUCGUGCACUUGAGCGACUGUUCGCUGUACGAAGCACGAGCCAAACAGCUGAGGCAUCUGCGGCCGGUGAAUUUCGUCGUCUACGAGAAUUGGUUCGUCGCCAUAGUCGGCAGCGAGAAGCGUGGCACAAAGUGCUACCACGAGCCUUUGCAGAUCUUCAACGUGCCCAGGUGCUGGGUCGGCUUCAACGAUCGCCUCGACGUCAGCGCCGGGCCCUUCUUCUGGUUCAAACAGGACCUCGGGGACGACCGGAUGAUCGUGGCUCCGCUCCGGGACAACGAUCCCGCGAGCGGCCAUCUGCUCAUCCAGGCCGUCGAACUGCUCGGUACCGUGCUCACUCGAGUCUGGAUCGUCCCGCAGAGCGGCAAGGCAGUGCUGCUGCGCACGUACGAGUUACGGCCGAACACGACCGUCGCGAUCGAGCGGCAGUUCGGACGGCACAACGAGCGCAUCGUCGCCUACUCGACGAGCCACGGCCGCAUCGGCGUCUGCGCCAAGAUCACCUUCGCACCGGGCGAGGAUCGGCUUCGAUGCACCCAGUGGGAUCAUCGCGGUCGGCUGCUGGGGACCGACUUGAUAAUACCGGUGAAAUACCGGCACCCGCGCGAGAUGGCCCUGCUGAAUCUGCCCGGCCAAGAGGGCAUGCUGCUUCUCGAGGCCGAGUGCGGGGACGCCUCGUGCAGAGGCAGCGGCGGCGGCGGAGGAGGAGGAGGAAAAAGUCAAUACUUCGUGUCGAAGAUCUACGCCCGCCACAUGGAGAACCGGUCCCACGUGUACGACAAGUACGAGUGCGACGGCAGGUACAAUCGGGUCGACGCGCAGCUGUUUCAAAGGGGCCCGCCAGGACACUACUGCAUCAGCCAGGUCUGCUACGAGGACUUGUUGGCGGUGGACGAUUUCGGGAACCGAUCGUACGAGGAUAGGUCGAGGAAGUUGAAGUUCCAUACGCAGUGCUUCUUCGAUUUGCUUAGCAAAGAUUCGUAUUUUCUUUAUUUCAAACGAUUUUUCAGUAAAUGGUUUAUUGAAUGAUUUCGUUUAAAUACAUGCAACACACACUCACUGUGUUUGAUUGAGAUAUUGUUCAUGUCCCGUUUGAUAUAUAAUUUUAUAUACUCUGACGACAAGUUUUAAAUUAAUUGUAUGUACAAGGUGUACAAACACAUUUUUAACCUGACUUCGAUUGGGAUAAAUAAAUAACUUUCGACUAUUCGAAAAAACGCAAUAUGAUACGACAACUAUUGUUCUUUUUUCUAGAACAAAAUGGGGGUUUGCUGCAUCAACCGAGGCUGCUGGCUGUUGACUGAUUUUUGCUAUGUCAUGAUCCUAGGGUAAAAUUUUUUCUCAGUGCAUAAGACGAUCGCAUCUACAAUUAGUUAUUAUAAUUAGGUCAAAUCGAUUUUUUUUAUGUCAACUUGAUGCUAUCUGUCGAGAGUUAGUUUGUAAAUACUCAAUUACAGAAGUUAAAAAAUUUCUUGAAGAAACUUUUGUCAAGUUAUAGUUUUAGAUUGGUUCAAUUAUUGUAAGGAGAAUAUGUAUACAAAGAUAAAUCGGCAACUUGAUUGUAAACAAUAUGAUUAUAAACUAUUUUGACAUAUUCCCUCAACACGUGUAAAUAGUAUAAUUAGUUUUAACAUCAAGCCAUAAUACCAGAAGAUCGAAUUAACUCAAUCAAUUUCCGUGAUAUUAAAUAGACUAAAUUAUCAUUUAAUUCAGGCACCAAAAUGGAUAAAAGCGACAAAAAAUACGUUUGUGAUAUUUGCCAGGAGGCAUUUACAUUGGAGUCAAGCAUGAUGACACACCGAGACAAAAUUCACAAUGAACGAAAUAAUUUUGCAUGUGACAAGUGCGAAGAGAAAUUUGAGUUCCGAAGUCAUUUGA